GCUGGGCGUGGCGGCUCACGCCUGUAAUCCCAGCACUUUGGGAGGCCGAGGUGGGAGGAUCACCUGAGGUCAGGAGUUCAAGACAAGUCUGGCCAACAUGGUGAAACCCCAUCUCUA
This is an unclassified non-coding RNA of Pongo abelii (Sumatran orangutan), 117 nucleotides long. It matches the Rfam family "Metazoan signal recognition particle RNA". From Rfam's summary of the family: The signal recognition particle (SRP) is a universally conserved ribonucleoprotein. It is involved in the co-translational targeting of proteins to membranes. Lineage: Eukaryota; Metazoa; Chordata; Mammalia; Primates; Hominidae. The record is from Ensembl.